Molecule: ribosomal RNA, 274 nt
Filed under: uncultured bacterium
Lineage: Bacteria
Description: partial 16S ribosomal RNA
Rfam family: Bacterial small subunit ribosomal RNA
Source: RNAcentral
AUACGGAGGGUGCAAGCGUUAUCCGGAAUCAUUGGGUUUAAAGGGUCCGUAGGCGGACUAUUAAGUCAGAGGUGAAAUCCCACAGCUCAACUGUGGAACUGCCUUUGAUACUGGUAGUCUUGAGUUAUAUGGAAGUAGAUAGAAUGUGUAGUGUAGCGGUGAAAUGCAUAGAUAUUACACAGAAUACCGAUUGCGAAGGCAGCCCACUACGUAUAUACUGACGCUAAGGGACGAAAGCGUGGGGAGCGAACAGGAUUAGAUACCCUUGUAGUCC